RNAcentral lists this ribosomal RNA (738 nucleotides) under Ramaria testaceoflava var. brunnea. RNAcentral describes it as "eukaryotic LSU rRNA". The stretch from base 244 to 398 matches the Rfam family "5.8S ribosomal RNA". The record is from RNAcentral. Lineage: Eukaryota; Fungi; Basidiomycota; Agaricomycetes; Gomphales; Gomphaceae.
AGGAUCAUUACAGUAAUUAAAAGGAGGGGGGGGUUUGCCGCUGGCUUCUCUUUGAGGCAUGUGCGCACCCUUUGCCUUCUAUUCUCCACAUACACCUGUGCACCUAUGGCGAGCACCUCCCGUUUGGAGUCGUCCUGCCUCCCUGGUUCAAAGGGGGCGUGGGGCUGAGGUCUCCCUCUUUAUUUAUAACAUUACAGCCUGUCUUAACGCAUGUCUAAUGCUCUACGGAGUGAAAUGAAAUACAACUUUCAACAACGGAUCUCUUGGCUUUCGCAUCGAUGAAGGACGCCGCGAAAGUGCGAAACGUAAUGUGAAUUGCAGAAUUCAGUGAAUCAUCGAAUCUUUGAACGCAUCUUGCGCUCCUUGGUAUUCCGAGGAGCAUGCCUGUUUGAGUGUCGUGAACUCUAUCAAGUCUUACCUUCUUUCGGGGGGGUAAGGGUUGGAUUUGGACGUCUGCCGGUGGGGUUUUCAUAUCCUUUGGCUCGUCUUGAAAUGCAUCAGCUGGUCCACCCAAGCUUGGUUUAACAACGGUGUGAUAAGAAACGCAUUGUGACUAUAUGCGCCGUUGAAGCCGACUUUGAGGGCCCGCUUCUAAUCGUCUUCGGACAAUACUCCAUGUCAUCUGACCUCAAAUCAGGUAGGACUACCCGCUGAACUUAAGCAUAUCAAUAAGCGGAGGAAAAGAAACUAACAAGGAUUCCCCUAGUAACGGCGAGUGAAGCGGGAAGAGCUCAAAUU